This 370-nucleotide unclassified non-coding RNA is filed under the name uncultured Weeksellaceae bacterium. RNAcentral's name for it is "contains 16S-23S intergenic spacer region". Lineage: Bacteria; Pseudomonadati; Bacteroidota; Flavobacteriia; Flavobacteriales; Weeksellaceae. The record is from RNAcentral.
UCUCUACUUGCGUAGGCAGUCUCGCCAGAGUCCUCAACUGAAUGGUAGCAACUGGCGACAGGGGUUGCGCUCGUUGCAGGACUUAACCUAACACCUCACGGCACGAGCUGACGACAACCAUGCAGCACCUUGAAAAUUGUCCGAAGAAAGCUCUAUUUCUAAAGCUGUCAAUUCCCAUUUAAGUCUUGGUAAGGUUCCUCGCGUAUCAUCGAAUUAAACCACAUAAUCCACCGCUUGUGCGGGCCCCCGUCAAUUCCUUUGAGUUUCAUUCUUGCGAACGUACUCCCCAGGUGGCUAACUUAUCACUUUCGCUUAGUCUCUCAUGACGAAUCACAAAAAACGAGUUAGCAUCGUUUACGGCGUGGACUAC